UGGCGGACGGGUGAGUAACACGUGAGUAACCUGCCCUUGACUCUGGGAUAAGCCUGGGAAACUGGGUCUAAUACCGGAUAUGACUCCUCAUCGCAUGGUGGGGGGUGGAAAGCUUUUGUGGUUUUGGAUGGACUCGCGGCCUAUCAGCUUGUUGGUGGGGUAGUGGCUUACCAAGGCUUUGACGGGUAGCCGGCCUGAGAGGGUGACCGGCCACAUUGGGACUGAGAUACGGCCCAGACUCCUACGGGAGGCAGCAGUGGGGAAUAUUGCACAAUGGGCGGAAGCCUGAUGCAGCAACGCCGCGUGCGGGAUGACGGCCUUCGGGUUGUAAACCGCUUUCGCCUGUAACGAAGCGUGAGUGACGGUAAUGGGUAAAGAAGCACCGGCUAACUACGUGCCAGCAGCCGCGGUAAU
Molecule: ribosomal RNA, 414 nt
Filed under: uncultured bacterium
Lineage: Bacteria
Description: bacterial SSU rRNA
Rfam family: Bacterial small subunit ribosomal RNA
Source: RNAcentral